AAAAACAAACAGAGGGUAACAUAAUAUUUAUCUAAAAUAUUACAUGCUAUUCCACUAUAGGUAGAGGGUGAAAACUUGUCAUACUAUUUUUACACCAUUUAAAGUAAUAUUGACAAGGUAUCUAUCUACAUUGCUGGGUUCUCUACACUUGCAGGAUAUAAUGAGUAUACACAUGAACUAAAAUCUAUUCAAUGCCAAAUCCUUCAAUCAACAUCAUUUGCAAGUCCUUUGAUUUCCUUGGAACAGUUGUUUGAUCUUUCCAAGCUCAUUUGGGCGUAGAAUUCUCACACUGGGCGAACAUUUUCUUGAUGGCUUCUUCUCUCUCAUCAAUGAAGUCAAAAAAGUGAAAAAUGACUUGAGAGCAGUGAGUGGUUGAUGAAUUUGAGGAUGAAGAAGCCAGUUCCAUUUGCCUACGUUUAUAGCGCACAAAUU
RNAcentral lists this unclassified non-coding RNA (432 nucleotides) under Hevea brasiliensis (rubber tree). The record is from RNAcentral. Lineage: Eukaryota; Viridiplantae; Streptophyta; Magnoliopsida; Malpighiales; Euphorbiaceae.